GAUGAAGAACGUAGCGAAAUGCGAUAAGUAAUGUGAAUUGCAGAAUUCAGUGAAUCAUCGAAUCUUUGAACGCACAUUGCGCCCCUUGGUAUUCCGAGGGGCAUGCCUGUUCGAGCGUCAUUUUGACCACUCCCGCUUGCGGGGUCUUGGGCCUUCGCCUCUGGGCGGGCCUUAAAAUCAGUGGCGGUGCCGUCCGGCUCUAAGCGUAGUAAAUCUCCUCGCUAUAGGGUUCCGGAGGGAUGCUGGCCAACAACCCCCAACUUUCUAUGGUUGACCUCGGAUCAGGUAGGGAUACCCGCUGAACUUAAGCAUAUCAAUAAGCGGAGGA
This 328-nucleotide unclassified non-coding RNA is filed under the name soil metagenome. RNAcentral's name for it is "partial contains 5.8S ribosomal RNA, internal transcribed spacer 2, and large subunit ribosomal RNA". The stretch from base 1 to 120 matches the Rfam family "5.8S ribosomal RNA", at positions 35 to 154 of the family's 154-position model. The record is from RNAcentral.